RNAcentral lists this unclassified non-coding RNA (343 nucleotides) under soil metagenome. RNAcentral's name for it is "partial contains 5.8S ribosomal RNA, internal transcribed spacer 2, and large subunit ribosomal RNA". The stretch from base 1 to 120 matches the Rfam family "5.8S ribosomal RNA", at positions 35 to 154 of the family's 154-position model. The record is from RNAcentral.
GAUGAAGAACGCAGCGAAAUGCGAUACGUAAUGUGAAUUGCAGAAUUCAGUGAAUCAUCGAGUCUUUGAACGCACAUUGCGCCCCCUGGUAUUCCGGGGGGCAUGCCUGUCCGAGCGUCAUUGCUGCCCUCAAGCACGGCUUGUGUGUUGGGCCUCCGUCCUCCUCCCGGGGACGGGCCCGAAAGGCAGCGGCGGCACCGCGUCCGGUCCUCGAGCGUAUGGGGCUUCGUCACCCGCUCUUGUAGGCCCGGCCGGCGCUUGCCGACACAUCAAUCUUUUUUCCAGGUUGACCUCGGAUCAGGUAGGGAUACCCGCUGAACUUAAGCAUAUCAAUAGCGGAGGA